GAUGAAGAACGCAGCGAAAUGCGAAAAGUAAUGUGAAUUGCAGAAUUCAGUGAAUCAUCGAAUCUUUGAACGCACAUUGCGCCCGCCAGUAUUCUGGCGGGCAUGCCUGUCUGAGCGUCAUUUCAACCCUCAUGCCCCUAGGGCGUGGUGUUGGGGAUCGGCCAAAGCCCGCGAGGGACGGCCGGCCCCUAAAUCUAGUGGCGGACCCGUCGUGGCCUCCUCUGCGAAGUAGUGAUAUUCCGCAUCGGAGAGCGAUGAGCCCCUGCCGUUAAACCCCCAACUUUCCAAGGUUGACCUCAGAUCAGGUAGGAAUACCCGCUGAACUUAAGCAUAUCAAUAAGCGGAGGA
RNAcentral lists this unclassified non-coding RNA (348 nucleotides) under soil metagenome. RNAcentral's name for it is "partial contains 5.8S ribosomal RNA, internal transcribed spacer 2, and large subunit ribosomal RNA". The stretch from base 1 to 120 matches the Rfam family "5.8S ribosomal RNA", at positions 35 to 154 of the family's 154-position model. The record is from RNAcentral.